GAUGAACGCUAGCGGCAGGCCUAAUACAUGCAAGUCGGACGGGAUUCAGGAGCUUGCUUCUGAUGAGAGUGGCGCACGGGUGCGUAACACGUAUGUAACCUACCUUUAUCAGGGGGAUAGCCUCUCGAAAGAGAGAUUAAGCCCGCAUAAAAUCACAGCACAGCAUUGUGUAAUGAUCAAAUAUUUAUAGGAUAAAGAUGGGCAUGCGGAACAUUAGCUAGAUGGCGGGGUAACGGCCCACCAUGGCGACGAUGUUUAGGGGAUCUGAGGGGAUGGCCCCCCACACUGGUACUGAGACACGGACCAGACUCCUACGGGAGGCAGCAGUAAGGAAUAUUGGGCGAGGGGCGGAAGCCUGAACCAGCCAUGCCGCGUGCAGGAAGACGGCGCUACGGGUUGUAAACUGCUUUUAUACGGGAAUAAACCCAGAUACGUGUAUCUGGCUGAAUGUACUGUAAGAAUAAGGAUCGGCUAACUCCGUG
Molecule: ribosomal RNA, 482 nt
Filed under: uncultured bacterium
Lineage: Bacteria
Description: partial 16S ribosomal RNA
Rfam family: Bacterial small subunit ribosomal RNA
Source: RNAcentral